Molecule: non-coding RNA, 542 nt
Organism: Oncorhynchus gorbuscha (pink salmon)
Lineage: Eukaryota; Metazoa; Chordata; Actinopteri; Salmoniformes; Salmonidae
Source: the annotation of a RefSeq genome assembly
UACGGGGAGUGAACAUUUCAUAAACAACUGACAGACGAGACAGGAACAGCGUCAGAAACAGAUACAGAUACAAAGACAAAAAAACAAUCAAUGCAGCAGCAGGGAACAGAGCAAGGGAACAUACAAAUAUAGGGGAAGAAAUGAACAGGAGAUAAAUGAAUCCAGGUGACACCUAUGAGCAGACUAUAGAGCCAGACCAACAUGAAGUGUAUGCAGAAGUGGGUAGUAAUGUUCUUCUUUCCUGCAACUACUCCUCAGCAGACAGUCUACUAUGGUAUAAACAGUCUCCAGGAUCAGCUCCCCAAUACCUUCUGCUCGUCCCGCACUACACUGGGACUGUAAAGAGAGCUGAUUCUCUUGACUCUCGCUUCUCUGGUAAACUGAACAAAGAGAAGACCCGUGUGGAUCUGGAGAUCUCCUCUGCUGAAGAGACAGACUCUGCUCUUUACUACUGUGCUCUGAGGCCCACAGUGACAGGAAACCUCAGAAACACAAUACAAAAACUGAUCCUCACUAUACAAACACAGACAACCUGUAUCUGA